This 4450-nucleotide long non-coding RNA is filed under the name Homo sapiens (human). Its description in RNAcentral is "non-protein coding lnc-CMTR1-4:1". The record is from RNAcentral. Lineage: Eukaryota; Metazoa; Chordata; Mammalia; Primates; Hominidae.
GUUUCACUGUGUUGGUGAGGCUGGUCUCAAACUCCUGACCUCGUGAUCCACCCACCUUGGCCCCCUAAAGUGUUGGGAUUACAGGCAUGAGCCACCGCAUCCUGCAGGACUCUAUUUAUAUAAAGUUCAGAAACAGGGAAAACUGAAGCACGUUGUUGAGGGAACACACAGAGAAAGCAAGAGCGAAACUCUAUCCCCAAAAACAUAAAACAUAAAAAAUAGCUGUCUUUCAUUUUCAACAGUGGCUGCAAAGAUGAGAAGCCCAGCCCAGAAGAGGUAUACAGUGGAUGCUGGUACCGGAGGCAGACCUGGCCCACAGUCCGUUACAAAUCCAGGCUCCUCUUUCCUCGGUGUGGAGUGUCUGGCUGAGAAGUAGCUGCCCAGCCAGGAACCCCAUUUUUCAGAACCCUUUGUGUAUAUGUGGGGCCGAAUUUCUAGUUCUCCCCUAUGGACUCUGUGCAAGGCGUGGUGUGCUGCUUUCAGAUGGAAGGAUGAAGAAUUGGUCUUUCCCUGUCUGGCGGCUGCACAAGGAGAAGUCAGAGGUCUUCAAGGGGGCAGAGCCAGAGGAGGGAGGGAGCCAGGGGAGGCCACCCUGACAGCAGUGCUGGCGCUGGACUGUGACUGAGCAGGAAAUGAACUUUCACAGGCUGAGCCACUGAGAUGGGGCUAGCCUCUUACAGCAGUGGCUUUACCUCUUCUUUUUUCCAUCCCUCCCUGGCAACUGUCUUGAUCCCCGUCCGGCUGUCCAGGCCUCAUGAUCUGGAGGGAGGGCGUCCCGUUCCCUCUGACCUAGGCCCUUGCCCUGACUCCACGGUGGGCCAGAUGCGACCAUCUUGGCCAUCAGGCUCAGGGCAGACUGGGGCCUUCUUUCCAGGUGCCAAGCGCAGUCCCCACCUCAGUGGAUGCUGACAGGACGCUCUGGUGGCCCAGGAGGUCUUGCUUAGUCAUACGAUCCUCUGUGGAUUAGUGUAUGGGGACCCAAGCCACAUGGGACUUUAGAAAUCCCCCUUUCCCUCAGGAGCACCCGGGGAAAGAGAAGCUACCAUCCGUCAGUGCAGUUAGCCUCGGCCCCACAUCCUCUCUGACCCUGGCUUUUGUCUUCCGGGGGCUCUGUGGGCCUCCUUGUGCAGCCUCCCCAUGGUGCUGGGCUGGGGCCUCCUGCAUUUUCAUGGUUUCUGUGACCCUGCCUUCUCCCAAGGCCUCCCUUAACCUCUGCCUUGCUUCCCCUGACCUUUCCCUACCUCUCCCUGACUUCUCAGCUCUGUUCCCUGCAGCCCGCUCCAGGUCCUCCCUAGGGGAUGCUGUGGCACAGACGCCUAUGUCUUCCUCCGAAUAGAAGCACAGCCAGAGACUCAAAGAGGUCAUCUCCAGGGGUGAGCUUUCUCUUUGCCUCUGUCUUAGCAGAACAUGAAGUCCCUGGAGGGAGACCAUGGCAAAUCGGAUAAAAAUCUCUCUGUGGCAGAUUCACUUUCCUGGGAUUAGCCCGACUCUCACGCUGGCCCUCCCCAGAUGGACUCUGCCCUGAGUCAUUGGUACCUGAUGGCAGAGUGGGCGGCAGCUUUCCUCCCCUGAUCUUCUCUCCCAGUCCCUGCCUCAUCACCCUGAGUCCUCAGCACACUCUCUACCCCUGAGCCCACCCUCUCCCAACUUGAAGCUCCCGAUCCUCUGCCACCAAACCAUGACCCUGCCCUUCCUUCUGAACUCUGAGUGGCAUUAAUUGCCUCAAAACAUUUCUUAGGCUAAUCUCCCAGACUCUGGUCCCUGUACUCUUCUUUUGACAAGGCGAGGGCUCAGCUCCAAUUAUCCUGAGGCGGUGUUGAGGGGGUGGACAUUGGAACAACUCUUCUGCCUCUAAUCAGCUACCUGAGCAGCACAGGUCUUGGCCACAGUAUCACCUACUUGGAGAGACUUUCCUGAGUGUAAAGAAGCCCCCACCGCCAAGAUUCUCCCACGAUGACGCCCUUUUACUUUGUAGCACCGAACCUGGUUUGUUGUUAUAUAAUUGUGGUUUGUUUGUGGUCUGUCUCCUCCAUUAGGCUAAAACCUACAGGGCACAUGGCUUUUGUCUUCCACUGUGUCUUGGGGCCUGGCACAGGGUAGGGUACCAGGACCAUGUGUUGAAGGAAUGAAUGAGGCUCAAACCUCUGCUCAGACUCAGGGCUCCUUAAAGAUAGGAAUCUACCUCCGUUUUCAGCCUGGGCCCCCUUCAUCCCCUGCACAGGGCAGGGACUGCUUCCGCCCCUCUCCCCUUUCUCCUAGGGUCCCUUUGCUGCAGGCAGAGCUGGAGCUGGAGCAGAAGUGUGGCUGAGGCCACUGAGGAAGCAUUCACAGCUCAGACCUGCAGCCUCCUCCGACCACAGAGCUAAUGCUGUGGAGCUGACCACUUGGCACCAGAGAUCUCCAGGGAAACCCUGCCAGCGCCCUGAGCUUAUGGCCUGGCCUUAAACCUGCACCACUGGCUUCAAAAGUGCCACAUCCUCUCCCUAUCUUUAAAGAUAGCACAGCACCUGCCUUCAUGAAUCCAUUUCAGUGAAAGCGGGGCUUAAAAACCAGAGCUGUACAGCAACAUACACACACACCCUAAACACAUCCCCACUUCUACCUUCCAUCUUUUCUCUUUCUGCAUUCAUUCCUCUGGCCCAGUCUCUGUGUCUCUGUUCCACUUAUUUCUGUCUCUGUCAAUCUGUGUCUCUUUCCAUCUGCCUCUGUCCCUCGCUGCGUCUCUGCUUCUCUCUGCCACAUUUUGUGUUUCUUUUCUGUCUCUGUCCGCUUGUGAGUGUUAUUCUACAUCUCAUGCCCUCUCUGAGUUUUUGUUCAUGUCUGCCUUCUCCUGUCACCCCCAAGGGCCCUGAGGUCCCCCCUCCCCUCAUUCCUCCCUUCCCCCGUAGCAGCCACCUCUCUGGGUGCCACUAGCUCACGCUUAGCUCUUCAGGCAAUCGUAGAAAGAAGAAAGGGAGGAGGAUGCUAGCGGGGAGCUUGAAGCAAGUGGUGGGGCAGCAGUGAGAAGUAGAAGUAGCACUGAAUAAAUACGCAGCUGUCUCUUUUAUCUCUUCUUGGCAGGAGGCAGAAGCUGGGGCAGGGGAGGCUCAGACGAAUGGGCAGGGAGGGAGAUGGAUGAUGGGGCCCAGAGUGAGACGGGGAGACUCAGGGCAGCCGACAGGACUGAAAUGAAGGGGGAUGUAAGUUUCCACAACCUCUGGCUCCUGGCAGGAGACUUUCCACCCUGAUUACUAGGGACAGGGAAUUGUUUAGGAGUCCAGGACACAAAAGGAUAAAAUAAGGAGACCGUGGGAAGAGCAGUAAGUGUGUGUGUGUGUGUGUGUGUGUGUGUGUGUGUGUGUGCGUGCGCACGCGCGCGCCCUACUCACUAGUCGCUAGUGCUAUUUGCUAAAUAUUUCUGGGUCUCCUCUUCCGAAUUGCACUCCCUGGCCCCCUUGUGGUUGGAUGGGGCCAUAUGACCAGUUCUGGCCAAUGGGCAGAAGAGAAAGUGUCACUUCCCGGCAGAAGAAUGUAAUUGCCAAUGCAACAUCUUCCAGAGGUCUUUCUUUCCCUCUGGCACUAUGACCAGCAAGCUUUGAGCUAGUGGCUUCUCCAUCAGUCUGGGCCUUGGGGUGAUAUGAUGUGCAGAAGCUGUGACUGGCAUGUCGCGUGAGCAAGAAGCAAGCCCUUUGGUUUUAAGCAGUAGAGGUUUUGGAGUUAUUUGUUAAUGAAGCAUAGCCUUGCCUAUCCUGACUGAUGCAGUAUACAUGCCUGUGAUUGUGUAGGUGUCUGUAUGGAGUGUAAAGUGUCCAGGGAUGUGUGUUUAAGCAUGUGUAUGUGCCAAUAUUUAUUUAAUACAUAUAGAAGCACGUGUGUUUAGAGGUUGUGUGUGUGAAUACAAGUCUUGGUAUUUUUGGUCCACACCCAGCAAAUGGUGAAGAAGGAAAGUUUCCCUCUGCUGCUGUCUUACCUCCUGUUUGAGGUAGACACACAAAGGGCCAGAUCUUGGGUCCCGCUUGCCUCCUAACCACCCGCCCAGCUUUAAUCUCCACGUCUUCUCUUCUUCCUGGCAGCUGCUACCCUCUUCCCUGAGUGUUCCUGGGGUGGCUACUGCUUUUGGCUGCCUGGCACAAUUUCCCUCUCUCCUAGCCCCAGGCAGAGUGACUGGUUCUGGGUUAGGUGUGUGGCCAGGGCCAGACCACUCAGACACCUUCCCCAGGAUUUUGCUGCUGGAGCAAGCAGGGAAGUGGAGCGCACCUUCCCUUUGGGGUGAUAGACACAGGAAGGGGUGAGAUGUGCAGCUGUCCUUGCCAUGGAGGGAUGAGUGGCCAGGCCGAAAGAAGCAGAGCUGAGAGAAAGGAACAAGAUGUUUUAGAUCCAGUGCCACCUGGUCUCAAUAAUGACAUGGGCCAGUGUGUUUGCUUGCUCUCCAAGGCUGUGGUGGACUUGUCUCUGGGAGGAGGGACAGAAG